AAACGAUGCGAACUGGAUGUUGGGUGCAAUUUGGCACGCAGUAUCGAAGCUAACGCGUUAAGUUCGGCGCCUGGGGAGUACGGUCGCAAGACUGAAACUCAAAGGAAUUGACGGGGGCCCGCACAAGCGGUGGAGUAUGUGGUUUAAUUCGAUGCAACGCGAAGAACCUUACCUGGUCUUGACAUGUCGAGAACUUUCCAGAGAUGGAUUGGUGCCUUCGGCAACUGGAACACAGGUGCUGCAUGGCUGUCGUCAGCUCGUGUCGUGAGAUGUUGGGUUAAGUCCCGCAACGAGCGCAACCGUUGUCCUUAGUUGCCAGCACGUAAUGGUGGGAACUCUAAGGAGACCGCCGGUGACAAACCAGGAGGAAGGUGGGGAUGACGUCAACUAGUCAUCAUGGCCCUUUACGACCAGGGCUACACACGUACUACAAUGGUAGGGACAGAGGGCUGCAAACCGCGCGAGGGCAAGCCAAUCCCAGAAACCCUAUCUCAGGUCCGGAUUGGCAGUCUGCAACUCGUACUCCAUGAAGUCGGAAUCGCUAGUACAUCGCAGAUCAGCAUUGCUGCGGUGAAUAACGUUCCCGGGGGCCUUGUACACACCGCCCUGUCACACCAUGGGAGUUUGCUUGCACCAGUAAGCAGGUAGCUUAACCUUCGGGAGGGCGACAAUAACUUGCCACGGUGUGCCGAUACUACG
RNAcentral lists this ribosomal RNA (699 nucleotides) under Stenotrophomonas sp. 371B. RNAcentral describes it as "bacterial SSU rRNA". It matches the Rfam family "Bacterial small subunit ribosomal RNA", at positions 804 to 1479 of the family's 1533-position model. The record is from RNAcentral. Lineage: Bacteria; Pseudomonadati; Pseudomonadota; Gammaproteobacteria; Lysobacterales; Lysobacteraceae.